GCCGUCACACCUAAAACCUGAACGCGUCGUCUACUUGCAAUGUUCCAACCAAGUGUUUAACUUGUGUUAGUUAACAAUCAUCACAUGACAUGCAUCAUGGCAAAUGUACUGCACGCACGGGGCACAUCUUACUAACCCACACACUUGUCAAUAUCAUGGGCAGUACCUGAAAAUUAGUGAAACAAAACAACUUGUUUGGUUCAGUACGGCGAAUUGUACCUAAAGGAAACCAACUUGCGUGUUAGCUGGUCGUCAGAAUGCCACGUCGUCCCGAUUGAAGAAAAUUGUGGCUGUGAAUCAGCAACGUUGCUCCACAGGGGAAAUGCACUUCGCACAUGUCUCCGCCGUCCCCCGGUCGAACAAGUACAGCUGCCCAGAGUUCUGGUCGUACAUGUCAGCUGCGAGACAGAAGCCUAUAGACUUUUGCAUGUGUGGGACCUGGCUCAUCCAAUACAGGCCAAAAAUAAAUGAAAUACGCGAGGGAUACGCGGCGAGGGGGAAUCCACAUGGCGUUUGCACGGCCUAGAUACAGGCCUGCCUGGUGCACGGCCGCUGUUCGCAUUUUCCGUGCUUCUAUUUGACUACCUAGUAAGCAACGCACAUUAAUAUUUAGACAAUAUAUUAUUUGCACGCGGAUAUUAAGUAUGAUAUUAUCUGUGUUAUAAUUUCUGUGAUUAUGUGAAUAGUUAACGUGUACGUGCAAUGCACGUUAAUUUAGAAGUAUAUUAAAUGCAUGCUGAUAUUAAGUAGUAGGAUAUUAUUAGCACUAUAUUUGGCAUGAAAUUAACGGCACAAUAAAUGUGUUGAGCGCUCGAUAUUGAAGCAGUCUAAGUCAUUGGAUUGACAUGAUUUGAUGGCCGAGAUUAAUUGAAUCUGCCUCUUUGGUUCUUUUUAUAUUGGUACAGAUACAGAUAUAGAUAUAGAUAUAGAUUGAUUAUAGCAAAAGAAAGAAAGAAAUCAUUUUCUCUGACCCAGCGUGUUACUACUAUCCUAAUUUGGUUAGUUUGGGCCCCUCCUCAAGCCACGAUGUGGGGAGGACCGACUUGCCGCUUAGGCGCCUGGCUCUAUGCCGUUCUGGACUCCUCCUCCUCUUUCUAGAUUUAUCCAAAUCCUUCUCCCUCAAUCUUUCUUUCCAUGCAUCCAAUCCUCAAUCCUCCGUCUCUGAUUUCCCAUCUCCAUUAUGCUUCGUUUACUUCCCAGCCGGAGCCCCAAAUUCCUCUAGAUCCGUCGGAGGAAGCCAUUCCCCCUUCUUUGAUCAUGGACCGGACGAAUCCGAGGCCGGAAUCCAAUCCACUACUGCUGCGAGGUCAUGGAGAUCCUAGUUUACCUCCGCCUGGAUCCUCUUCGGUUCAAGCCCCCAUAGAGGCCAUGCUUUCUUUGGAUUUGCAGGCACUCAAUCUGCAAGAUCCAGAAAUUGCCUCUGUUCAAGCAGCCCAAGAAACAAUGGAGCUUGGAGCAGAUGCGAAGUUCAACAUGCUCAUCAUUCUCGCAGCCACUGGAAUGAGUCCAGCUAGAGUACUAAAUUUGCAAACUCUGCAACAGGCAAUGGCCAAAGCUUGGAGAAGUAAUUAUCAUGGGAUAUCUCAGGUAUCAAGGUCGAUGUUCAUGGCUCAUUUUAGAACAUUAGAAGCUAUGAUGUUUGUUAUCACAAGACAGCCUUGUAUUAUGGGUUCUGAUAAUCUGUUGUUGGAGUGGCUCGAUCCUUCUGAUGAGGCAAAAGAAAAGGAGGACUAUCGGUUUGACACUAUAUACGUCACCAUCAGGAUUUACGGGGUUCCAAGAAGUUUCAGAUCAAUUCAAUUGCUUAGAAGUAUUCUGGAACAGGUGGGAGAGCCAUCUGAAUUUCAUCCACUUCAUCAGGGUAUGUUAUAUGCUAAAGCAGAGUAUAUGUGGGGUACUGCUAGGUUGCAGAUUAAUAGUCCAAUUAAGGAUAGGAUUAUGGUCAACUUUCCAAAUGAAUCAUCUGGCUUAGCUUAUCUGUUCUAUGAGAAAAUUGGGAGAAUCUGCACUUUCUGUGGAAUUAUGUUCCACAAUGUUCAGGGAUGUCCUCUCAGGAAUCAGAUUAUCUUAAACAGGCAAAAAAGAGGAAUUUCUACUACAGAUGUUCCAUCAAAGAGAUUUGGAGAAUGGAUCAAUACUCUAGAGCUCAUUUCUCAGUUUGAUACAGCAAAUAGAAGUUCUUUCAAUCCAGUUUUCAGUUCACAUCAGAAUCCUCAACUUACUAGAUUCCAACGUUUAUUUGCCGAGGAGUCAAAAAGAAAAAACUCGACUUCGGUUGCUUGCCCAACAGAAUUCAGCAACGAAAAAGAUAAUGAGAAGUUAGCCAGAAACUACCAUCAGAAAGGUUCAACUUCACACACUAAAACUUCAACUAUAAAGGAGUCACAUAACAUUUACCAUGGUGGCAGCCAGAUACCAAUUGAUGUUUACGACAGAGAUCAGACUCAAUGUGGUCUGGUUGUGGGGGGAUCUAAUGGAAACCAUCCUGACACGAUUCAACUAGUGGAUGUUGAAGGGGCUCAAAACAUCAAUAUGGCGGCCAGUCAGUUUGAACAGCAAAUAGAUUCAGGACAAACUAUCAACACUCAACAUGCAGAGAACGCUUCAGUACAUGAACGACAAUCAUACCAGCCCUCUCAGACCUUGGAUAUGGUACCUUACACUCCUAGAGAAGAAUCAAAUAUUCUCCAAAAGUUUGGGUCACACUUAGGCCAGCAACAUGAUAGGUACAAACAGGAUACAGGAUCCGCAGCUGCCUCUCAGCAUGAUCAUUCUAUUCCAGCUUUGUUGCCUGAAAAUCCCAGUGUGCAAGGCAUAACUGCAACUCAAAUCACUCAGGCCUUUGCGACUACUGCCUUGCCGAUUUCCAACGCUCAACAUUCACCUACUAUUUCUGUCCAGAACCAUAGCCACCAAUCCAAUCCAAAUCCUUCUGAAUUAUAUGGUUCUCCUCAGUUGUAUCCUAGUUCUAAGCGUCCAUGCUCCUCCAUUCUAGGCCCGCCUCCGCCACCACCAAAGAAACGCUUUCCCCGACAGAAUGCUCAAGAUAGAAGCUCCCUCUCCUCUGAUGUCCUCCCAAUGGACCAGGAAGUGCAUGCUGCAGAGAGGCCUCCAUCUGUUCUUGGUUGCAGGCCAAAAUUAAGAGGCAGCCGCUGGGAUAUCCCUCCUGGAGGUGGAUCGUCAAGUUUCCAAGCCAAUAUACAGGGGAGUCGCCGCGUUUGGAUCCGUGGACAGCACUCUACUUCUCCUCGGGCUUCAUAUGACCAUUCCAGGCUUCGAUCGCCUUCGCCAUCUCUUAGUGCAGAUGUGUUUGAUCACCAUAUCCAGGUGGGUAUGGGUGAUGAUCGUCCUGGCAAUCUUUCCGGAGUCUCAACUCCAGUUCAAGAUCAAGAUGAUCCUACUACUGUUCGAGGUAGUAACAGAAUGGAUAUUGAGGAAGUUCAAUUGGGAGAGUCUAUGGACUAUGACUGGGCAGCGGCGCAUGGCCCUAACGCGCCUCGGUCAACAUGAGACUAAUUGCAUGGAAUUGCCGAGGGAUGGGGCGAGGCCUCGGCAAUGAAAGAAUGACGUACCUCGCUAAGCUCAUUCACUCCACAAAAGCUCAGUUCCUUCAAGAGGAUCCUCUGGUGGUCUUUGGCUGAUGUGGAAUGAUGAGCUUCAAGUUCAUGUGCAUACGGCUUCCUUCUAUGUUAUAUUAGCAAACGUUGUACAUAUUGCUACGGGUAGGGAUUUUGGGCUUGUUUGUAUCUAUGGUGAUCCAUAUCAUAGACAAACUGAUGUGAUUUGGGAUCAAAUUUCUAAUUUUGUGUAUGAUAAUCCUGGCAAGCCUGUAUUAUGUAUGGGAGACCUUAACGAGCUUUUGUAUGAUAUGGAUAAAAGUAAUGUUAAUGUGAAUCAUCGUCGCUUGCAUGCCUUUCGUGCUUUGAUUAAGAACUGUGGUUUUUUUGAUUUGGGAUUUUCGGGGCCUGCUUAUACUUGGACAAAUAGAAGAUUUUCUUCCAAUCCUACUUAUGAAAGGCUUGAUAGAGGAUUAGUUAAUCCUGAUUGGUGUGAUGAGUUUCCCCAUACUAAAGUUCUGAAUCUUCCUAUUAUUCUUAGCGAUCAUGCUCCUAUCUUUAUUACCACUGAAGGUCAAUACAAAAAACCUAAGCAAACUUUCAAAUUUGAUAAUUGGUGGCUGAAAGAAAAUGAUUUUCAAUCUUUUGCAAAGAAUGCUUGGGCCUCUAGUACAAACAGAAAUUUUUCUGCUCGUACUAACAAUCUUGCAGGUGCUCUGAAAGUGUGGUGCAAAAAGAAGAAACCUUUACAGCAGGAACUCUCCAGCCUAGAAGAACAAAUCAACCGUAUUCAAAUGCAGCCUCUAUCCAUGCAGGACCAUCAACUGGAAUCAGCACUCAUUGUCAGGUAUGAACAAAAUAUGUCGAAGCUUACUGAUUUCUAUAGACAAAGGGCUAAGAAGAAUUUUGCAACAAAAGGGGACAGGAACACAAAAAUUUUUCAUCAUGCGGUGCUUAAAAGAAGAAAGAAGAACACUAUAGUUUCAAUAAAAGAUGAGAAUGAUAACAUUCACUUCAAUCCUCAGGCCAUUGCAAAUACUUUUGUUAGCUACUUCAGAUAUAUUUUUGCUUCUCCUAAUGUGAAUGUGGGCAGACCUUUUCUAGCAUCCAGGAUCAUUUCUAACAGCCAUGACUACACGUAUAGCAUACCAGAUAAGGAGGAGAUCCUUAAUACUCUCAAGGAUAUGAAGAUAAACGCCUCUCCUGGACUCGAUGGAUUCAAUGUAGAAUUCUAUAUUGCCACUUGGAGCUGGAUUGGUGAUGAUGUUACGACUAUGGUAAGGAACUUUUACCAAACAGGUAUAAUGCCUUCGCACAUUAGUGAUACUCACAUUGCUCUUAUUCCUAAGAAGUUAGUUCCUCGAAUUCCUUCAGAUUAUCGGCCUAUAAGUCUUUGUAAUGUCAUUUACAAAAUCAUUUCCAAAACCUCGGCCAAUAGACUCAAACCUCAUCUCCCUGAUUAUAUUGAUCAUUCUCAACAAGCUUUCAUUGAGGGUAGACGCAUAUCUAACAAUAUCAUCUUGGCUCAGGAGAUAACUCAUUCGUUUGCUCUUAAAUCUUGGAAACAACAAGCUUUCUUGCUUAAAAUUGAUUUGGCUAAGGCUUUCGAUCGACUUGAAUGGAAUUUCAUCGUUUCGGCUCUUUCGCGAAAGGGGUUGCACGGUCAUUUCAUAAAUUUGGUGUAUGCUUGCAUCUCUUCCCCAAGGUUCUCAGUCAUUAUUAAUGGCCAGCCUUUUGCAAAUUUUCGUAGCAAUAGAGGUUUAAGACAAGGUUGUCCCUUAUCGCCUUAUCUGUUUGUUCUUGCUAUUAAUGAGCUUUCUUUAAGCCUGCAUGAUGCUAUGAUACAAAAUCAACUGUCUGGCAUUUCUCUUGGUCCAAACUGUCCACCUAUUCAUUCAAUGCUUUUUGCUGAUGACUUGUUAGUUUGUGGUAAUGCCACAGUUCAGGAAGCUGCCCAAAUGGCUCAUCUCAUCAACCACUUCUGUUCCCAAUCAGGUCAGACUCCAAAUUGGCACAAAUCUUCUAUUCUUUUUAGUGCUACUGUCUCCCAGUCUCUAGCCCAACAUAUUAAUAAUAUUUUCCCAGUUACCCUUAUUGAUAGUACAUCAACUCACCUUGGCCACCCUCUCAUCCUUCCUGCAAAGGACCGUGCUUCGGCUUACAACUUUGUUUAUGAUAAAUUCAAGAAUAAGCUUCCCACUUACAAAGCUGAUAAAUUAUCCCAUGCUGCUAGACUUGAGCUUAUCAAUUCGGUGUUCGCUUCCAUACCUGUUUACUAUAUGUCCAAUAUCCUCUUUCCAAAAAAAUUCCUUGCGAAGCUCACGGCAAUCAUUCGUAAUUUUUGGUGGGUUGGUGUUAGAGAGGAAGCUAGUGCAAGAGCUUUAUGUCUUAGGGCUUGGAAAGAUAUUUGUACUCCUAAAAAAGAAGGUGGAUUGGGAAUCAAAAACAUGUUGGCUAUGAAUCAAGGUCUCCUUCUUGCGGCUGCCUGGAGACUUGCUGAAAAUCCAGAAAGCCAAGUCUAUCAAGUUCUCCGUGCUAAGUAUUUUCCUGAUUCUUCCAUUUGGAGAGCUACUCCGAAUACUCCGAAAUCUGCUUUCUGGACUUCUAUUCUCAAGGUCUUGCCGAUGCUCAAGGAGCAUUCUUUUUAUCAGAUCACCCAAGGCAACAUUUCUAUUUGGAGCUCACCUUGGUGUACCACUUGGGAGAACAUAUACGAUCACCUUAUUGUCCAACAUAGUGCUUUUAUUUACCCGGCUAAGGUCUCUGAUCUUUGGCUUCCAGGCCAAAAACUUUGGAAUUCUGAGUUCAUUACUAACCUUUUUCAGGAACCGACUGCUUCGGCUAUUAUUGCAACUCCUAUAGUUCUUGAUGAUAGUAGGGAUAUCCUUUGUUGGAAGCCCACUCCUUCUGGUAAGUGCAAUUCUAAGAGUACAUAUAAGUUGUGUUUACAACAAAUUCAUAAUUUGCAGGUAAAUCAACCAAGACAGGUGAACCAAUCAACCAAAGAUAUUUUGCAGCAAGUCUGGAAGCACAAAUUCAUGGCUCCAAGGGUUAAAACUUUUGCGUGGCGCUUACUUAGGCAUGCUCUCCCAACUGGUCUUAGAGCUGGCAGGUUUUCCUCUCAUAUUUCUUCUACAUGCUCUAGAUGUGAUUCAGAUGAAGAUGAAAUGCAUAUUUUCUUUCUUUGCAACUUUGCUAGAGCCUCUUGGUUCGGACACCCCUGGUAUAUUAGAUCUGAUAUUCUUGCUCUCAAUCAUAAUUCUGUUCUUGAUAUUAUUCAGGUUCUAAUUAACAUGAACCAUCCGCAAUCAUCUAUUCCUAAUAUAUUUACCUUCUUGUGGUGUUUGUGGAAAGCAAGAAACGAUGUUCUUUUUUGUAGGAAAGAAUCACAUCCCCAUCAGGUUCACCAAGCUGCUCUAGCCAUCGCCUCUGUCCAAGAUAUACAAGAUCCCCAAGAACACCUAAAUAGGGAGCUGCCUUCAUCGAAGGAGAAGCAAUCUACAACCAUACUCUCUCAAGGGCAAGAACAAGUACAGCAAGGCUCCACCCUCAAAUCUGACUUGGCUAUUUCAGGUAACAAAAUAUAUUAAGACGCUUCUUGGCAUAAGAAGAAUGUGCCUGGGUAUGGUGGUAAUCCGGCUACUGGUAUUGGUGUUCACAUCCUUUUCCCUGAAGAGGGUUCUGAUUCAAGAAUAAUGAUUCAAGCCUCUACUCAUGAUGUUUGUUCACCUCUUAUUGCUGAAGUUUAUGCACUUCUAUUUGCUGCUAAAAUCUCUUGCAGGCUUCAACUUCAGCAAGGUUCUUUUCUCACUGACAAUCUUUCAUUAGCAAAGAUGGCUGCUUCAAGAGAUAUCAAUAACACCAACAUCAGCUGGAGGUGCAGACAACCAAUUAGCGAGUUCUUUCAAAUCUCCCUUUCUCUUAAUGCUGUUUAUCACAUCUCUAGGAAUACCAAUGGAAUUGCUCACAAUUGUGCUCAUCAGGUUCUCAACUCGAGAGUAGAACCUGUCUUUAGUUGUUCACGUUCCUCUCAUGCCAAUGUACCUUGCCCUUUUCUGCAGUCCCUUCUCAAUUUUCAAGUUCAGGGCUAUGUAAUUCAUGUUGUACAUUGUCUAUGA
RNAcentral lists this ribosomal RNA (7675 nucleotides) under Triticum aestivum (bread wheat). RNAcentral describes it as "partial small subunit ribosomal RNA". The record is from RNAcentral. Lineage: Eukaryota; Viridiplantae; Streptophyta; Magnoliopsida; Poales; Poaceae.